RNAcentral lists this ribosomal RNA (1127 nucleotides) under Hyaloperonospora parasitica. Its description in RNAcentral is "eukaryotic LSU rRNA". It matches the Rfam family "Eukaryotic large subunit ribosomal RNA", at positions 45 to 959 of the family's 3401-position model. The record is from RNAcentral. Lineage: Eukaryota; Oomycota; Peronosporomycetes; Peronosporales; Peronosporaceae.
AAUAAGCGGAGGAAAAGAAACUAACAAGGAUUCCCUAGUAACGGCGAGUGAAGCGGGAUGAGCUCAAGCUUAAAAUCUCUGUCCAAAUUUAUUUUGUGCGGCGAAUUGUAGUCUAUAGAGGCGUGAUCAGUGUAGGUACUUGAGAUAAGUUUCUUGAAAAAGAACAGCACGGAGGGUGAAACUCCCGUUCAUACUUAAGUGGCUUGCACGUACGAUCCGUUUUCUUUGAGUCGCGUUGUUUGAGAAUGCAGCGCAAAGUAGGUGGUAAAUUCCAUCUAAAGCUAAAUAUUGGUGCGAGACCGAUAGCGAACAAGUACCGUGAGGGAAAGAUGAAAAGAACUCUGAAAAGAGAGUUAAAGAGUACCUGAAACUGCUGAAAGGGAACCGAAUCGUUUCUAGUGUCUAUAAUCUAUGACAUAUUUCAUUGGGAAGUAUGUGCGUGUGUAUACUAUGGCAGCGGCUUUUUUUGAGCUGCGCUUGGUGUGCGUGCUGUAUGUGCUAACUGGUGCCCUGUGUUAUAGUGGGACGUCAAGGUCAGUUUGUAUGCUGCGGGAAAUGGCUACUAGGGAGGUAGGGCUUACGCUUGCGUUUGUCUAUUAUAUCUUGGUAGUUGUGUCGUCGUGGUUGAGACUGAGGUGUUCUACAACGUGCUUUUGAGUGGGUCUGUGUCUCCGUGUGCGCCGUGUGCAGAUAGCUUGCUAUGUGUGUGUGGUGGUGUGUGGAUUGAUGUGGGCUUUAACUUGUCGCCGUUCGGGACUUUGGCGAAAUAGAGCGAUUUGACCCGUCUUGAAACACGGACCAAGGAGUCUAACAUAUGUGCAAGUGUUAGGGUGUGGAAACCCCAGCGCGAAAUGAAAGUAAAGGAUGCUGAAAAGUAUCUGAGGUAGGAAAUGUUAUGAACUUUCGGUUUUAUGGCGUGGCACUAUCGACCGAUCAUGAACCUUCGUGGUGAAAGAUUUGAGUUUGAGCACAUAUGUUGGUACCCGAAAGAUGGUGAACUAUGCCUGAGUAGGGUGAAGCCAGGGGAAACUCUGGUGGAAGCUCGUAGCGAUUCUGACGUGCAAAUCGAUCGUCGAACUUGGGUAUAGGGGCGAAAGACUAAUCGAACCAUCUAGUAGCUGGUUCCC